This 1287-nucleotide long non-coding RNA is filed under the name Olea europaea subsp. europaea. Lineage: Eukaryota; Viridiplantae; Streptophyta; Magnoliopsida; Lamiales; Oleaceae. The record is from RNAcentral.
UAUUAUUUUAAUUUUUAAAUCUUAUUUCAACGUGGGCGGAUAAAUUAUUAUAGUCUUAAACGGAUGUAUAAUUUUUUCGGCAAAAACGAGAAAAAAAUUCAUCUCUAUGCAUAUUAUUUCAGAAAAAAUUAACCCAAAAUCGAAAAAUCUGACAAAUAUCCAGCCCAGACUGUCUGGGCCGAAUGUUUAAUAGACGGCCCCGGACGUUUGGCUGGGCCGACUGUUAACAACUAGCCCGGACCGUUUGGGCCCUUUUUAUCCCAUUUUUUCCUGUUUUAGUCGUGCGUAGCAUAUUUUUUUCCUCUCUUUAUCUCCGUAAUUACAAUUUUUUUAAUAAAUGAUGUUUCCUAAUGCAAAUAUGGGAUCGACUGAAGUCCCGAUUCGUUACUUUGGUGAAUUUAAAGAGAACGGAAAUGAACGAUAGAUGAAGAAAUGGACGAGUGAAAGACAUGAUUGUACUGCAAUUGUAAUAACAUCAAGUACAUCAUAUGCAAAAAUUUACAAUGAGUUACAGAACUUGUUCAAAGUCGAUCCCUCUCAGUACGACAUAGAAUUGAGAUUUUUAAUGGACGAGCAUACAUCCAUUUCAAAUUCACCUAUAAUGGUUACUUCUAAAACUGAAAUGAAGAUUUUAAUUGAAAUGAAUAAAAAAAUGUAUGAUUCUUAUUUGUGUAACUUUGAUGAAGAAGAAUGUCCCCAGAGUGAACAUGAAGAUUUCAAUAGAGGGGAUUGUAACGUGAAUGAAUUUUGGGACAUAGUGGAGACGGUUCAUGAGGAUGAAGUGACUAUUCCAGAGACAGUUGAUCAUCACCAUGAUCUCAUUGUUACACACUAAAUUUCCUCGGUAGAUCAAGACAACGAAAAAGAUAACAACUUUACAAAUGAGAAUUUGAUCGCUUUAUCCCGUCUGAGACAUGAAUCGAGUGGGAGCUCACAGACUGGACCGAGUGGACGGUCCUGUAAUUGUUCGCGUGUAGUUACCGAUGAUGAAGAUUUGUAUGUCGAGCAACUGUUUGCACGAAGAAAGAUUCGUAGGAAGCUAUUCACUGACUGCUUUAAAACACAAUUUUGAGUUUAAGGUGAAGAAAUCAAACAAGUUGUGAUGUGAACCCACGUAGGCAAAUGCUACGGAACCCACGAACAAGAUUGAAACCUUCCCAAAAAAGUCAAAGCAAGGUUUUGGAUUAAAUUCAAUAGAUCUGAAACCAAGCAACCCGAAUCGCCGACGAUGUGCGGACCUCUUGAUUACACAAAAAUACGAAAUCUCACCUGGUUGAUUUGAACGCC